Molecule: long non-coding RNA, 933 nt
Filed under: Sus scrofa (pig)
Lineage: Eukaryota; Metazoa; Chordata; Mammalia; Artiodactyla; Suidae
Description: lncRNA (ENSSSCG00050066494.1)
Source: RNAcentral
CACGUCUCCUGAAGGAAAAGGUCAGGAAGAAAGAAUGUGUUCCCAGAACUCAAACGAGCCCCAGGGAGGGCAGGGUCACCAAACUAGAAAAACAAAUCAGCCUGAAAUGCCAGGGACACCUGUGAGGGUCAGCGGGACCUUCAGAACUCGAACAAGUGGCUCCAGGCACACCUGCUCCCGGGCAUGACUACAAGUGUCCUGUGUGGGGGGCAGGCCGUCCCCCAUGGUCAGCAGGCAGAAGGCAGCUCGUGUAGCCCUCUGAUGGAACUUGGCUUCUCCUGCAGAAAAGAAGAUUCUCGAUAUACUCAUGGCAAAUUAGCACGAGAGUGACUGGUCAGUAAUACCAACAUAGCAUACAUUUUUUAGGAAAGACUCAACUGUGUAUGAGAUUAUGUAUGUUCAUAAAAUGAUGCGUGCGUGUGUGUAGAGACCAGACAGAAAGUCGUAGCUAAAAUAAAGAUGUGAGCAAACAGGAGCAGGGUCGCUCUUCCCGCAACCACCUCGCCCGAUCCCCGCCUCCCUGCCUCCCUGAAGCCCCGCGUCAUUGGCUUCCUAUCACUGACUUUCCAGCUCGUCAGCGUCCUGGUAAACGUACAAGAACUGAUCCUCUAAGCCCAGGUCUGGCGAGACUUUUGGUUGAUAUUUUCAUGUUAUAACAGCGGGUGGCAAGCUUCUUCUGUAAAGGGCCAGACCGUAAAUAUUCUAGGUUUUGCAGGGCACACGGUCCCAGUCACCCGCCAACAGCCACUGACACCAUGCAGGUGUUCCAGUAAAACCUCAGAAGCAAUUCCGGGAAGACAGUGGAGAAACAAUGAAGACGUGGGCAGGACCUUCACGCGUUUGUGCUGAGUUGCACCUGACCUCUCUGCUCAGGCAGACACUUGUUUUCAAAUACAAAAUAAGUGAAUAAAUAAAACGCAUGAAUGUCCCAUA